GAUGAACGCUGGCGGCGUGCCUAAUACAUGCAAGUCGAGCGAACGGACGAGAAGCUUGCUUCUCUGAUGUUAGCGGCGGACGGGUGAGUAACACGUGGAUAACCUACCUAUAAGACUGGGAUAACUUCGGGAAACCGGCGCUAAUACCGGAUGAUAUUUUGAACCGCAUGGUUCAAAAGUGAAAGACGGUCUUGCUGUCACUUAUAGAUGGAUCCGCGCUGCAUUAGCUAGUUGGUAAGGUAACGGCUUACCAAGGCAACGAUGCAUAGACGACCUGAGAGGGUGAUCGGCCACACUGGAACUGAGACACGGUCCAGACUCCUACGGGAGGCAGCAGUAGGGAAUCUUACGCAAUGGGCGAAAGCCUGACGGAGCAACGCCGCGUGAGUGAUGAAGGUCUUCGGAUCGUAAAACUCUGUUAUUAGGGAAGAACAUAUGUGUAAGUAACUGUGCACAGCUUGACGGUACCUAAUCAGAAAGCCACGGCUAACUACGUG
This 497-nucleotide ribosomal RNA is filed under the name uncultured bacterium. RNAcentral describes it as "partial 16S ribosomal RNA". It matches the Rfam family "Bacterial small subunit ribosomal RNA", at positions 28 to 507 of the family's 1533-position model. The record is from RNAcentral.